This 462-nucleotide ribosomal RNA is filed under the name uncultured bacterium. Its description in RNAcentral is "bacterial SSU rRNA". It matches the Rfam family "Bacterial small subunit ribosomal RNA", at positions 28 to 507 of the family's 1533-position model. The record is from RNAcentral.
GAUGAACGCUGGCGGCGUGCAUAACACAUUCAAGUCGAACGGUGAUGGAAACUUCGGUUUCCUGAUCAGUGGCGGACGGGUGAGUAACGCGUGAGCAACCUGCCCUAUAUUGCGGGAUAACAACCGGAAACAGUUGCUAAUACCGCAUGACGUAUUCGGAUCGCAUGUUCUGAAUACCAAAGAAUUUUGAUAUAGGAUGGGCUCGCGUCCGAUUAGGCAGUUGGUGGGGUAACGGCCCACCAAACCGACGAUCGGUAGCCGAACUGAGAGGUUGAACGGCCACAUUGGGACUGAGACACGGCCCAGACUCCUACGGGAGGCAGCAGUGGGGGAUAUUGCACAAUGGGGGAAACCCUGAUGCAGCGACGCCGCGUGAGUGAAGAAGUAUUUCGGUACGUAAAGCUCUAUCAGCAAGGAAGAAAAAAGACGGUACUUGACUAAGAAGCCCCGGCUAACUACGUG